This 496-nucleotide ribosomal RNA is filed under the name uncultured bacterium. RNAcentral describes it as "partial 16S ribosomal RNA". It matches the Rfam family "Bacterial small subunit ribosomal RNA", at positions 29 to 523 of the family's 1533-position model. The record is from RNAcentral.
AUUGAACGCUGGCGGCAUGCUUUACACAUGCAAGUCGAACGGUAGAGGGGGCAACCCCUUGAGAGUGGCGAACGGGUGAGUAAUGCAUCGGAACGUGCCCAGUCGUGGGGGAUAACGCAGCGAAAGCUGUGCUAAUACCGCAUACGAUCUCUGGAUGAAAGCGGGGGACCGAAAGGCCUCGCGCGAUUGGAGCGGCCGAUGUCAGAUUAGGUAGUUGGUGGGGUAAAGGCUCACCAAGCCAACGAUCUGUAGCUGGUCUGAGAGGACGACCAGCCACACGGGGACUGAGACGCGGCCCAGACUCCUACGGGAGGCAGCAGUGGGGAAUUUUGGACAAUGGGGGCAACCCUGAUCCAGCCAUGCCGCGUGAGUGAAGAAGGCCUUCGGGUUGUAAAGCUCUUUCGGCCGGGAAGAAAUCGCACAGGCUAAUACUCUGUGUGGAUGACGGUACCGGCAUAAGAAGCACCGGCUAACUACGUGCCAGCAGCCGCCGUAA